RNAcentral lists this unclassified non-coding RNA (204 nucleotides) under plant metagenome. RNAcentral's name for it is "partial contains small subunit ribosomal RNA and internal transcribed spacer 1". The stretch from base 1 to 46 matches the Rfam family "Eukaryotic small subunit ribosomal RNA", at positions 1786 to 1831 of the family's 1831-position model. The record is from RNAcentral.
AAGUCGUAACAAGGUUUCCGUAGGUGAACCUGCGGAAGGAUCAUUAUAGAGAUUGGUUGGGUAACACCUUCCAAACCUCCCACCCUAUGUUUACAUUACCUUUGUUGCUUUGGUAGGCCCGUCUUGCGCCGCUGGCUGCGUGCCACCUCGAGUCUCAAAACUCUGUUUAAUUUGUAUUGUCUGAGUACUAUACAAUAGUUAAAA